CCUACGGGGGGCAGCAGUGGGGAAUAUUGCACAAUGGGGGAAACCCUGAUGCAGCGACGCCGCGUGAGCGAUGAAGUAUUUCGGUAUGUAAAGCUCUAUCAGCAGGGAAGAAAAUGACGGUACCUGACUAAGAAGCCCCGGCUAACUACGUGCCAGCAGCCGCGGUAAUACGUAGGUGGCAAGCGUCAUCCGGAUUUAUUGGGUGUAAAGGGCGUGUAGGCGGGAAUGCAAGUCAGAUGUGAAAACUAUGGGCUCAACCCAUAGCCUGCAUUUGAAACUGUAUUUCUUGAGUGCUGGAGAGGCAA
This 305-nucleotide ribosomal RNA is filed under the name uncultured bacterium. RNAcentral's name for it is "bacterial SSU rRNA". It matches the Rfam family "Bacterial small subunit ribosomal RNA", at positions 338 to 660 of the family's 1533-position model. The record is from RNAcentral.